RNAcentral lists this ribosomal RNA (113 nucleotides) under Diaphorina citri (Asian citrus psyllid). Lineage: Eukaryota; Metazoa; Arthropoda; Insecta; Hemiptera; Psyllidae. The record is from RNAcentral.
GCAAGAGGCGAGAGCACGUUGAAUGCUCCAGUGCCUGAUGGAUCACUGAAGCAACGUUGCGCGUGGUUGGUAUCCGGAUGGGGGACCAUCUGGGCAGUCAUGUGCUGAUGGUU